GGUGAUCCUCUUCCCAUCUUUACUUCUGAGAGCUGCUGCCACUCCAAGAUGCUCUUUUUAUACCCAGUCAUGUUAAUGACCUAUUGCCAAUUGACCUAAUGAGUUGCAAUUUGGUCCUCCAGCUGUUCCUUUUUUGUACCUGUGCUGACUCUGUCAGUUACUGGGUGGGGUUAGGUUUCCCUAGUGGUAGUUUUAGGUACUGCAGCUUUAAUUUGUAGUCACUUCCUGUUAUUUGCACGAGGCACUUCCUGUUUCAACCAUGCCUGUUACAAGCCAUAUACAAAUGUGCUCCUCCAGAGAUUCAGCUGUUUUAACCUUGGAGUGGAACCAACAUUUUACAAAUAAUCAAAGUACCAGAAGAUUUCAGUAAAUUCAUCAGUUAACCUGGAA
This is a long non-coding RNA of Neoarius graeffei (lesser salmon catfish), 390 nucleotides long. RefSeq lists it as uncharacterized. NCBI's taxonomy places the organism in Eukaryota, Metazoa, Chordata, Actinopteri, Siluriformes, Ariidae. The transcript is spliced from 2 exons. The record is from RefSeq and is a predicted model, not a curated record.